AGAGUUUGAUCAUGGCUCAGAGCGAACGCUGGCGGCAUGCUUAACACAUGCAAGUCGCACGGGCAGGGGCAACUCUGUCAGUGGCGGACGGGUGAGUAACGCGUAGGUAUCUAUCCUUGGGUGGGGGACAACUGUGGGAAACUACAGCUAAUACCGCAUGAUGACCGAGGUCCAAAGCUCGCGAGAGCGCCUGGGGAGGAGCCUGCGUACGAUUAGCUAGUUGGUGGGGUAAAGGCCUACCAAGGCGACGAUCGUUAGCUGGUCUGAGAGGAUGAUCAGCCACAUUGGGACUGAGACACGGCCCAAACUCCUACGGGAGGCAGCAGUGGGGAAUAUUGGACAAUGGGCGCAAGCCUGAUCCAGCAAUGCCGCGUGUGUGAAGAAGGUCUUCGGAUUGUAAAGCACUUUCGACGGGGACGAUGAUGACGGUACCCGUAGAAGAAGCCCCGGCUAACUUCGUGCCAGCAGCCGCGGUAAUACGAAGGGGGCUAGCGUUGCUCGGAAUGACUGGGCGUAAAGGGCGCGUAGGCGGAUGGCACAGUCAGAUGUGAAAUUCCCGGGCUUAACCUGGGGGCUGCAUUUGAUACGUGUUGUCUAGAGUGAGGAAGAGGGUCGUGGAAUUCCCAGUGUAGAGGUGAAAUUCGUAGAUAUUGGGAAGAACACCGGUGGCGAAGGCGGCGACCUGGUCCUUGACUGACGCUGAGGCGCGAAAGCGUGGGGAGCAAACAGGAUUAGAUACCCUAGUAGUCC
RNAcentral lists this ribosomal RNA (750 nucleotides) under uncultured bacterium. RNAcentral's name for it is "bacterial SSU rRNA". It matches the Rfam family "Bacterial small subunit ribosomal RNA", at positions 8 to 796 of the family's 1533-position model. The record is from RNAcentral.